AUUGAACGCUGGCGGCGUGCCUAAUACAUGCAAGUCGAGCGAAGUUUUUCUGGUGCUUGCACUAGAAAAACUUAGCGGCGAACGGGUGAGUAACACGUAAAGAACCUGCCUCAUAGACUGGGACAACUAUUGGAAACGAUAGCUAAUACCGGAUAACAGUAUUUCUCGCAUGAGAGAUAUUUAAAAGUUGGUUAUGCUAACACUAUGAGAUGGCUUUGCGGUGCAUUAGCUAGUUGGUGGGGUAAAGGCCCACCAAGGCGACGAUGCAUAGCCGACCUGAGAGGGUGAUCGGCCACACUGGGACUGAGACACGGCCCAGACUCCUACGGGAGGCAGCAGUAGGGAAUCCUCCGCAAUGGGCGAAAGCCUGACGGAGCAACGCCGCGUGAGUGAAGAAGGAUUUCGGUUCGUAAAGCUCUGUUGUUAGGGAAGAAUGAUUGUGUAGUAACUAUACACAGUAGAGACGGUACCUAACCAGAAAGCCACGGCUAACUACGUGCCAGCAGCCGCGGUAAUACGUAGGUGGCAAGCGUUGUCCGGAAUUAUUGGGCGUAAAGCGCGCGCAGGUGGUUUAAUAAGUCUGAUGUGAAAGCCCACGGCUCAACCGUGGAGGGUCAUUGGAAACUGUUAAACUUGAGUGCAGGAGAGAAAAGUGGAAUUCCUAGUGUAGCGGUGAAAUGCGUAGAGAUUAGGAGGAACACCAGUGGCGAAGGCGGCUUUUUGGCCUGUAACUGACACUGAGGCGCGAAAGCGUGGGGAGCAAACAGG
This 768-nucleotide ribosomal RNA is filed under the name uncultured bacterium. Its description in RNAcentral is "bacterial SSU rRNA". It matches the Rfam family "Bacterial small subunit ribosomal RNA", at positions 28 to 776 of the family's 1533-position model. The record is from RNAcentral.